This 292-nucleotide small RNA is filed under the name Gorilla gorilla gorilla (western lowland gorilla). Its description in RNAcentral is "7SK RNA (ENSGGOG00000035092.2)". The record is from RNAcentral. Lineage: Eukaryota; Metazoa; Chordata; Mammalia; Primates; Hominidae.
GGGCGAGGGCUAAGUGUGGUUCUGACAUCUCUCACUUCAUCCAUUUCCAGGUUGACCUGGCUGACUAGAUGGGAGUCCCUACCUCCCUCUCCUUUUCAUGUAUGUCCUUCUUGAAGCUACAUAGUUUUUUUAAAAAAAAAACAACAGAGAAGCACUUUUCUUUGGUUAGAUACAAGGAUCUGUCCUUCUUGCUAAACUGUCAAACAAGCUCCCUGUGUUAGUGAGGUCUGCACAUAGGAUGAGGCCAGACCAAGAAGUUGGAUGACAAAGCAGAUUCCAGGGGCUAGAACUC